Molecule: long non-coding RNA, 1950 nt
Organism: Helianthus annuus (common sunflower)
Lineage: Eukaryota; Viridiplantae; Streptophyta; Magnoliopsida; Asterales; Asteraceae
Exons: 3
Source: RefSeq, a predicted model, not a curated record
ACUCCAAAAAAUAACUGCUAUGAUUGCAGUUCAUGACAGUUUCCUUACCUGGUGGUUACCUCCACCAUUUUCUAGCCCAUGUCUCCACAACUCAAUCUCCUACAAACCUGGGUAGUGCUCUAAAGUCAGUUGAGGAGGUAUUAUUAUAUAAUGUACCUUAGAAGCAAUAGUUCAUAUCUUUAAAUCUAAUGUUAUUCAAGGGUUCGGCUUUUGGAAGGGGAAAAAUAGGAGAAUCAAAUACACUCUGUUUGGGCAGGAACAAAUCCGAUGUAUCUUCAGGUAUCGCUUGGGAAUAUGCAUCAAUUUAGCCAAGCAGAACAGAGCAAACACUAUGGCAGAUAGCAAUGACAUUGAGGACCAGAUGGAUCAGAGGUUGGCAACUAUGAGGAGAUGGAUGAAUGAUGAUGAUGUUGAAGAGUAGUUAAGAGGAAAAAGCUGAUGAUGAUCAUGGUAAAGAAAAGCAUGUUGGGCUGCUUACUUUGCCACCACAUGGUUCUGAGAUUUUCAUUGGGAGGCUUUCUAAGGAUGUGGUUGAGGAAGAUUGAGUGAAUUUUGUGAACCUUUUGGGGAUGUUGUUUAGGUCAGCUCUAACGGUAAGUUUGGUGAGAUAUAUGGAGACCAAUGAAGGUAAGGGUUUUGCAUUUGUGGCAUUUAGAAGUAAAGAUGAUGUUCAAAAGGCCAUUGAAGAACUACAUAACAAAGAUUUUAAAGUAUAAAGCUAUAAACUUUUGCUUAUUUGUUAGGCAUUUUCUGGAUUUGGUACUCAGUUUUAUGAUGUUCUUUGCAUGGUACGGGCUUCAGGUGUUCACUCUCUGAAUACAUAUACAGACAAUUCAUAGGUAAUGUGCCAAAGACUUGGACUGAUGAUGAGUUCAGAAAAGUAAUUGAGGAAAUAGGCCUAGGUUCAGAAGUGUCAUUGAGAGCUUAUAAAGGUGGAAUCGGUGGUGUUGGUUAUGGAAUGCCAUAUAUUUUUUGCUUAUAUUAUGAUCAAUUUACAUGGGAAACUUGGUUUCCGUGUGUUGCCCGGGUUGCUCUUGUGUCAUGGGGAUUUUAGAUAUGGGGAGCACUUUAUUAUAUAUAUAUAUAUAUAUAUAUAUUGGUCUACAAAAUUAUGCAACCUGUACAGUGUCUUGGAUCUUUACAGAUGUAUAAUGAUUCAUGUUUCUAAAUAUUUUAGUGUAUUUGGUUUUUAUUUGUUGUAGGUGUGGAUCAUACAUAGCCAAUCAAGGGAAAAAAAGGCUUUGUAAGAAAAAAUGUUGUUGCUUGAGGGCUCACAUAAUUAUGCAUUUUCAUCCGCGUAUAGUCCCCCUAUUACACGAUCCCUAGCCCAGUAAGUACAUAGACCCUUUCUUUGCUUUUGAGUUUUGACUACACUUGAAGCAAGUGUAAGUUUAUUUAUAAUGUAGCUUUAAAGUUACAUGAACUUUUUAUAAUUCACAUAUCCUACUUUUCUAAAUUUUGGUUCUUUUAAUGCUAAGGAUCUUAGCAACAACAUUUACAAUGAACUUCCAUACAGGUUGCCUUUAAAUCUAACACACUUGUAAGUUUCACUCCAGAUAAAUUUACUAGGUGUGUCAAUCGUGUAGGGUUAGCGGGUUGUGGCUUGGCGAGUUGCAGGUUGACGGGUUGAUGGGUUGAUUGUGGAACACGAACUAUAUCUUUAUUCAUGUCAAAAUCCGGAUACACAUAAUUUGGGUCAAAUCGAACACAACCCAUUUUUACCAAUUUGCUAAAUAAUUAUUUGGAAUUUGAGAAACAUAUAUAAAUCCUAAGAUUUGGAUUCCGGUUGAUAUAGACCAAUACUGUCUCUUCCUUGCAUAACUUUAUAUAGUAUGAUAGUCGGGUCGGAUAAUGCGUAAAAACAAGUCAUGUUUCAUUAUGCUAUUACCCAUUGUAGAUAACAUAACCCAAUUUAUUUCUCUAAUCGUAAUAACCUAUUGGUGGUCAUUG